Molecule: ribosomal RNA, 496 nt
Filed under: uncultured bacterium
Lineage: Bacteria
Description: partial 16S ribosomal RNA
Rfam family: Bacterial small subunit ribosomal RNA
Source: RNAcentral
AUGAACGCUGGCGGCGUGCCUCAUACAUGCAAGUCGAGCGGACGGACGAGAAGCUUGCUUCUCUGAUGUUAGCGGCGGACGGGUGAGUAACACGUGGAUAACCUACCUAUAAGACUGGGAUAACUUCGGGAAACCGGAGCUAAUACCGGAUAAUAUUUUGAACCGCAUGGUUCAAAAGUGAAAGACGGUCUUGCUGUCACUUAUAGAUGGAUCCGCGCUGCAUUAGCUAGUUGGUAAGGUAACGGCUUACCAAGGCAACGAUGCAUAGCCGACCUGAGAGGGUGAUCGGCCACACUGGAACUGAGACACGGUCCAGACUCCUACGGGAGGCAGCGGUAGGGAAUCUUCCGCAAUGGGCGAAAGCCUGACGGAGCAACGCCGCGUGAGUGAUGAAGGUCUUCGGAUCGUAAAACUCUGUUAUUAGGGAAGAACAUAUGUGUAAGUAACUGUGCACAUCUUGACGGUACCUAAUCAGAAAGCCACGGCUAACUACGUG